This 355-nucleotide ribosomal RNA is filed under the name uncultured bacterium. RNAcentral's name for it is "partial 16S ribosomal RNA". It matches the Rfam family "Bacterial small subunit ribosomal RNA", at positions 338 to 685 of the family's 1533-position model. The record is from RNAcentral.
CCUACGGGUGGCAGCAGUGGGGAAUAUUGCGCAAUGGGCGAAAGCCUGACGCAGCGACGCCGCGUGAGGGAUGAAGGUCUUCGGAUCGUAAACCUCUGUCAGCAGGGAAGAACGGUCACUGUGCUAAUCAGCCGUGAAUUGACGGUACCUGCACAGGAAGCACCGGCUAACUCCGUGCCAGCAGCCGCGGUAAUACGGAGGGUGCGAGCGUUAAUCGGCAUUAAUGCGCGUAAAGCGCUCGUAGGCGGUAUGUCAAGUCACGGGGGAAAUCCCCGCGCUCAACGUGGGAACUGCCUUUUAAACGGGCAAACUGGAGUGUGUGAGAGGAUAGGGGAAUGCCAGGGGUAGGAGUGAA